CCUUUGGCCGCGAACUGUGCGCAUUGUCUCCGUAGGUAUCCACUUAAUAAAAUAGGUACGGCACACGAUGGAUAAGUACGAGUGAAAAUAUAUUUUUAUACAAGAACAUUUUUCGGCGUAUGGUAAGUAUAAGUGAUACUAAAAUGUGGUAGACGAUUUGACAUUUAUAUAAUAAUUACAACUCUUAUAAUUUCCAAAUAAAAUUCGGAAACAUACAUAUCUAGAUAAUCAUGAUCAGGGAACAAACGAUUAACGAAGAUUUGAGGAAAGAACGGACCAUGUGUACGUUCGAUAUCGAAGAGCUAACGAAUUGGUUGGAUGAUGGCCGGGAAAAUACCGAACAAAGACGAAAACUCGGUAGGUAGCUCAAAGAUAAACCAAAGGAAACUGUUGGUACUUAUUGAACGUCAGAAGACUCACUACAAAAAUGUGAAUUUCAGAACAAUUUUUCCUCAACGAUUCAAGGUUAAAAGACGACGUGCCCGUCGAAUACCUAAGUCACAAAGAACACUACGAGCAUGCAGUCCGAAAAUCUUGUAUUUUGAUCCAGAAAAUUAUCGAAUGGCAGGAACUGACGAACAGUACUAUAACAGACAUUUCCAAGUACCUUUAUUCAAAGUUUAUCGACUAUAUUCAUUUACAAAAUCCUAUCGAAUUAAUUAUGAUUUUUUUUUUUAAAUACUUGGCCACUUGAGUAUCUAUGGCAUGCAGAAUUAAAAUCAUGUAAAGAAACCUAUAUAGCUAGGUAUAUUAUAAGUAUAGCUAUAAUAUAUUUUUGGAAGAGAUACUAGACACUAGGUACCUGUUGAAAUUGUCAAAUGGAUCGGACGGAUUUAUAUUUCAGUGGUGUACCUAUCAUAUUGCCAAUUAUUUAUCUUACCUCUUAUACCUCUUUAUUUUGUGUCUUAUAGAUGCUUUGUGAGAAGGGCUUAAGGAGUUGUGAGCAACAUUAAUGGUAUUUCUUGAGAUAGGAAGAUUAAUGAGAUCAUGCCAAUAAAUUUGCAUUUGAUUUUCAUAUAAAAUUUAAUUUACUUACCUAGAUAAUUUAUGCGUAGGUACGAAUGUACGAUUAACUAUAUGGAUUCCUCGAUCAUAAAAAAAAAUACUAAGUUGGUACUUAAUAAUUAUACAUUUGAUACUAUCACAGUCAAUACACAAAAUAUCAUUAAUAUAUUAUAGGUAGCUUGGUGUAUAAUUUUACAAAUAGGUAAAUCUAUACAAUUUUUUUUUCUAAUUUUAGUCAGAUUUGGGAAUAUGGAAUAAAUACGGCGAUUGUCAAACAGCUUUGUCCUUUUUCCGUACAUUCCGUAAUGUUUUUGCCGGCCAUACUGAGUCAGGGUACUCUGGAACAACAAAAAAAAUGGGCAACACUUGGCCAAAGCUAUAGAAUCAUCGGUACAUACGCUCAGGUAAUAUUAUUAAAAAAUCGUAGCAGAUAAUCGAGUGUGUACUUACCUACCUAUUUACUCUAAUGACGAGGGCAAAAAUGUGUUUAUAUAAUUUCAAUUAUUCGUAUGAUUCGCAUGGAUCAAUGAUACUGUUAAUAUAAAUUCAUGUGAAUUCGAACCAAUACCUAUGCAUUAAUUGCAAUUAGUGAUUAUAAUUAUUUUUACUGCAGGAUUAAAACGGUCUAAACCAGUGGUUCCCAAACUUUAUUUUUUCCACCGUAUGACAUUCUUAAUAGUUACGAGUCAUGAUACACUUUUGAAACGUGUCUACUUAGCUGAUAUUUUUAGCCAUUUAAAUAAUCUUAAUUCAAGAAUGUAAAGUGAAGAUGAAACCAUAUUAAAAUCAAGUGAUAAACUAAAUGGUUUUUUACGAAAUAUUAAUCUUUGGAUAUCACACAUAGAAACAAAACAACUUUAAAUGUUUCCAUUAACAGCGCUUGCUGAUCAAGAUGGAGAAGUAACUUAUGAUUUGAUUAUUAACCAUCUCGUAGUUUUAAAAGAAAAAAAAAGAAGAAAUAUUUUUCAUCUUUGCUUGUUGACAAAUAUGAUUGUAUACGUAGUAACAUCAGAUGCUAUGUCUGAUAUUCUCAUCUAGAAUUAGUUGAUUAAGUUCAACUUAUAGGAAUUCAAUCUGAUCUGAUUGAAAUUAAAAUAUAGUGAACUUAUAGAGCUAGUACUACACUCGUCCAUUUCUUGGAAUUUAAUUAAUACCGAGUAACAGAAAAUUACAGAAAAAGUAAGAAAUAUGCCAUUACGUCAUUUUCCACUAGGUACAUAUUUCUGUGAAUUAGGUUUUUCCGCACUACUAAUAUUCAAAAUACUAAAUGUGAACAAUUUUUAUCGGUUAAACAAGAAAUGCGAGUACCUAUGUUUACCAAUCGAUCCUUUCGCGAAUUGAACAAAAAAACAUCAAACAUACUAAAAUUAAUACAAACACAUAAUUUUAUUUCUUUUUCAAAGUUUUUUGUGAAUUGAUUUGUGCAUAUUGGAUGUUAAAUAAACUAGGAGUUUUACCUAGGAAGGUAAUAGAGGGGAAAGGCAAACGAAAAUAUUAUUAACACUCGUUUAAUACAAAAAUUCAAAAUUAUUUACAUUGUACCUAAAAAAAACGUCCUAGGAUAAUGGAGAUGGGUGCAGCCACUGUUACAGAUAAUUUAAUGGUAAGCAACAAUAAACCAUUGCUUACGAAAAAAACGAUUCUGAGCAGAGUUUAGUUGAUAGUGUUGCUCUGUCAACAAUAUAUAUAUCAUAUUAUGGUAAAAUAAUUACUCAGCCAUUAUAUAUUUUUUUUAAUAAUAUUUAUUUAAUAUUGCACCUAUUUUCCCGUUUUCCUACGAUUUUCCUGGUUUUCCCGUGGUUUUUCCCAUUUAUUGGGAAAACUCCCGGGGAAAUUGAAAUUUAACUCCCUAAAGUACCUCCCGUGUCUAAUUUCCUUUCAAAAAAGGCGCUACACUAAAAAUCGAAGCAAGAUUUAAGGUAGAAAAGUUGUCCGCAAAAAAAAAAAAUAAACAUCUUUGUAAAACCAUACGCUUUUUCGCUUCACUCAUAAUCUAAAAAGUUAUUAAAAAAGAUCUAUAGGCAUUAUUGAGUUUAUGAUAAAACCAUUGAAAAACGUAGUUUAAUCAAUAUACGUACUGUAGGAACUCUUCAUCUUUCCAACAAAAAAUAGUUGUUGAAAUUGGACCGUUCUACGAGGCAUGAGAGUUUUUCACGUAAAACACGUUUUUUAGUCAAAUAAAACACGUCAGACAUACUCCCUAAUGUACGAUUAAAUUUUAAACAUAUUUUUGGAAUAGUCAAAUUGUUGAGGUUAUUGAGGAAAUUGAUUUUUUGAUAUCGAAUUUAGUGAGUCCAAUAUAAAUACAAAUGUAAUGUGGUUAUUUCACGUUAUUUAAAAAAAUAUAAUAUUUUAAUUUAGAGGUCUUAAAAAUUUAAAAUCAACUUCCUAAAAAAUCUGAUUUUAACUUAUUUUUGGUCUUAUAUUUCAUGUUCCUAUUUUCAAAAAGUCUUUGUUCUUGUUUUAUUUACAAUGAUGUCGCAGGUUAACGAUCUAAAAAGCUCCUGUUGGAUCUUAUUUUCCGAGUUUCGUGAUCAGUAAAGUUCAUAUCUUCAACUAAGCUAUUUAUUGGGGGCUUCUGAACAAGGAUAUUAUCAGAUCUUUAGUGCAGUAAGUUCCAAUUGCCUUCUGCAUUCCCAUGCUAUUCACCAGGUGUGUUGGUUCGUCCGCCUUAAGAGGUAGUUUCCCACCUCCAGAACAAGAGAUUUCCGUCUUCUACCCAUUAAUUCGCUCCCGGAGGUCGUUGGCCUUAGUAGAGGUUGUUCCUUUAACCAGGGGUUGAUUGGUGAUACUUGAGUUGCCUUUUGCGACAAGUGGAAUUACCCGUGACUCUAUUCUAAUUUGAGUACCACACAUAUAAAAGUAAUAUUAGGUGGAAGUAUACAUUUAUUGUUAUUGUAUGAAAAAAAUUAAACCAUUUUAUAACUAGAAAAAAAAAACAAUUCUUUGUUUAACUAAUAACUUUUUCGUUAUAUUCAAAAUCUAAAAUAGAUAAUUUUUUAGUAUAUAAUGAGAGACUUGACUUCAUAUUUUUCUAUAAAUGCUAAACUCUUAUCAUAUAAUAACUUUAUAAAUUCGUCAAAAGCAAUUCCAAUUAUUAAACCUUCUGUUGAAAAUUACAUUUUUUUUAAUCUUCUUAAAGGCUGAUCAGCCUACUAUUAUUUUUAGGUAAAGUAUUAGAAAAGCUAAUAUUUAAAAAACUAUUACUUUACACUUUCUCAUCGCGUUUAGUGUAAUACACCAGGUAUUGGUAUAGGUUAGUUGAUGCAAUCUCGUUUUCUCCGGGAAAAAAAAAUAUUAAUGCACUUAUGCUUUCCGAAACAUUAUUCAGGUGUUUGACAAAGUCUGAUAUGAAGAAUUACUCCUUAAAUUAAAAAAUUGAAUUUUCAAAUUCGAAAUAACAUUAUUAAGUACACAUUUAUUUUUAUCAAUUGUAUAAAUAAGUCUUAGAUAGUUAGAUAAUUAUAUUUUGUACAUUUUUGAAAAAAAUAAAAUGUAACAAGAAAACCUUUUACUGCAUGCUCAUUUUCAAUGAGAAGCUGUAAGAAAUGUUAAGGGGGUUCGAGAAGAUAUUUUCGGGGGGGGGGGGCUGUAAUCCCUAAGCUCCCUGCAUCCAACACCUAUGAACAAACGUUGAACAGUAAAAAGUUUCAUAUUUUAUUGACGAGAAAAAUAUUUUACAUAUUUUAUAGACCGAACUCGGCCAUGGCACUUAUAUCAAAGGUUUAGAGACUACGUGCACAUAUGAUUCAUCAACAGAAGAGUUUAUUUUAAACAGUCCGACGUUAACUUCGUACAAAUGGUGGCCCGGCGGAUGUAUGUUUUAUAUAUAACGAAUGUCAAAACAAUUUAUCAACAUUCAACGCUGGAUAAAAUUAUAAUUUCAGUGGGCCAUAGUUGUAAUUACGCUAUUGUUGUCGCUCAACUCUACACACAAGGGAUACAUCGCGGAUUGCAUCUGUUCAUUGUGCAGAUAAGAGAUUCGGAAACGUGGAUGCCUAUGCCAGGUGCAUGUUAUUUUUUGAUUAAUUUUAAUAACAAGAAUCACGUUAUUAUUGAAAAACAAUUAUAUUUAUCUGCCAGGAUAAAAAAAUAACUAAAACAUUGAUAUAGGAAUCACGGUCGGUGAAAUCGGCAGUAAAUUCAGUUUGAACUCUACCAACAAUGGGUACGUGGCAUUUGAUAAUGUCCGAAUACCUCGAAUGCAAAUGUUAAUGAAAAAUUCGAUAGUUCAUAAGGUAAUGAGUUAAUGGUGUCGUGAUGAACGAUGUUUUUUUAAUGCGAUUGCAUGGAUCUAGAAAUAUGUUAAACUAUGAAAGGAGGGGAGAGAGUCGGGGUGAUCAUUUUUUAAUACUUCACUUAAGAUUUCUUAUGACGCCAUUACGUGAUGAUGUUAACUGGUUAAAUUAAUUAAGUAUAUAAAUCACAAUGCGUAAUUAAAAAUUGAAAUUUUGAGUAUAGGAUGGAACUCACGAAGUUGUAACUCGGGAUAUAUUGACAUACAGUACGAUGGUAUUCGUACGGGUAGCAAUUGUCAAAACCGUGAUUAACAACUACUUAAUGCGGUCAGCUGUAAUCGCAAUCAGGUACAGUGCGAUUCGGCGGCAAUCGAAAUUAAAACCUGGGUAAUAUAUUAUAUUUCACAAUAUAUACGGUAUAUUAUGUUACGUUGGUUUAUACUUACUUGCGGUACAGGGAACGCGAGCCACAAAUAUUGGACUACCAAACGCAACAGUACAAACUGUUUCCGACCAUUGCUACGUGUUUAGUGUAUAAAUUUGCUGCAAAAUGGCUAUGCGAUAAAUACUCUACUGUAAAUUCAGACAUAGAACGAGGAGAUUUAAAACAAUUACCAGAGGUUGGUACACUCAAUAAAUUGAGUUUCUUAAUUAUUAAUAUUAUCUGUUAUAAAGUAUAUUGCAGUUAAUGAUUUAAAAACCAUAGUGAAUGCAUACGAAUUUUGACUACGCAUUAUUUAAUACGUUAUACCUUCUUCUACAUUAAUAAUAGGAAGUGUCUGUCUAUCUGGGCACGGCGAACAGCCAAAUAUAUCGCUUAUAAGAAUGCAAUCUUUUUUUUUUUUAAAUAUAUUGGUUACCAAAAUGUUAUUAAUUAUUUAUUAGUGUUAGUAUGAACUAUGAAGAUGGUGGUUUUCUAUCACAUAAUAACAAUUCUUUUUUGUAAUUGGUUAGUAUCUAUGGUAAGCUUUUGGUUUACCAGAGUGUUUAUACGUUUUUACUUCAUGACUAAAUACGUUAAUUGCCUACUUAACGUGUUGUUGAAUCUAGUAAAACAAUUUCAUGUACAUUGUACACGCUCAUAAAUAUUAAUUACAAAAAAUGACUGUUAUUGUUUACUGUAUUAUUAAUAAUGCUAAGAUGAUUUUAUCGUAUUAUUAUAUUUAUACAUAGCAAUUGGUUUAGGAGUUUAUACUGCAUUUGAAAUCAGUAAAUAUACGAGUCGUUGGAAUUGUCUCUUUAGCAAGUAUAAUAAGUGGUGAAAAUUUGGCGAUGCACAAGUCCUUUAAGAAACUCUUGUUAAAUUAUAUUAUUUUACGGUUUUGAUAGUCAAUAGAAUGGGGAAAUCAAAAAAAUAAUUAUAAAAUCAAUCUCUGUAAAAACUAAACAAGAAAAUGGAUAAAAAUUAAUAAUCGCACGGGUUAUUUCGAUUUCUCGGUUUUUUAAGGUACAAUAUUUUAGUCAUAACCCUACCAUACCUAUGUGUCAAUAAAAAUUGACCACCUCUUAAUGAAGUAAACUGAUUUUCCCUCCAGUAACUCGUGUCUCCCUAAAAUACGGGCCUGCUAAUGAGCCACAAAAUAUUAUAAAUUUUCCCUGAUCUAUCUAAAGCCCCAUUCCGCACCUGGUGGUCAAUGUAUAUUGACGUGUAUAUUCACGCAUAAAUCGGUACAAAUGUUUAUAAUCCAAAAUUGAAUUUCGAAUAAAAAUGUUCUUAAAAUAUAAUUUAUAGCUACACGCUAUGGCGUGUUGUUUAAAAGCUGUCUGUACGGCAGAUGCGGCUAUGGGCGUCACGAAUUGUCGUUUAGCAUGCGGCGGUCAUGGUUAUAUGACCAGUAGUAAUCUACCUAACAUUUAUGCGCAAACCACCGCAGCAGAAACUUAUGAAGGAGAAAACACAGUAUUACUUUUGCAGACAGCUAGGUACUUACUACUAGUAGCAUUAAGUUAUUGUAACGAUUUUAACAAAAACAUAAUACUUAUUACCGAUUGUUUAUUACCUAAUUCAAAUUAUUUUUAAACUUUAUAGAUUUUUGAUGAAAUCGUAUCACGAUGUGAAAAUGGAAAAUAUGCCGUUGUCGAACACUAUAUCUUAUCUGAGAGAUUAUACAGAUUUGAACAAAUUCCGAUGGACUACAACAUUAGAAUGUAUGGCAAAUGCAUUUUAUCAAGUCGCCGGAAGGUAUACGAGAUUUAUUUUACAACAAAAUGUUUAACUUGCUAACUUACUAUUAUAUUAAUUUUAAACAUAUUUUAGUAAGAUCGAAGACUGUUAUUCAACCAUAAAACGGAUGGUGAACUCUGGAGUUACUCAGGAGGACGCUUGGAAUCAAACGUCCAUCAAACUAACUCAAGCAUCUGAAGUACAUAAAUACCAUUUUAAUAAUUUAAAUAAGGAAAUUAAAAAACUUCAUCUAACACGGUUUAUACUUUUCGUGUUUUAUAAAGAAAAAUCACUCUCAACACGAAUAUAUUCUCUGUCUAUGGGCGUAAAAAUUAAUAUUUUAAAUCUCUCCUCUCGUUACACGUUACACAUGUCGAUGGUCGUAUCUUUAUUAUCCUUCUCUUAAACAGUAUUUCAGAAGCAUCAGAUUUUCUAUCGAAUAUCUCAUUUAGUGUUCCUAAUAAUCACACCAGACUACCACAGACUAUUCCCUACACUUACACAUUAUUUUCAAAUUUAUUAAGUUAGUAUAUAUGUAUAUAUUUUAUUAAUAUAAGUAAAAGUUAAAUUAUUGUAAUAUUUUACUUGAUUUUUAUAGGCACACUGCAGAGCAUUUGUUAUCAAUGUUUAUCUAAAAACUCUCCAGACGCUUACAUUUUCGACCGAGUUAAUGAAAGUACUCAUCGAUCUGGGUGAACUUAUUUGUGCAUAUUGGAUAAUAAAUCGACUUGGAGAUUUUCUUCAGGUAAAUUAUUUUCUUCAGCUGUUAUAAUAAUUUCAUGUUUUUAUAUGUACGCGAUUUUGUUCACAGUUCUCGAAUCUUAAAAUUAACGACGUGCCUUCGGUACAAUUGUUGUUUGAAGACUGCUUAAAACGUAUCAGACCAAAUGCAGUUGGUCUUGUCGAUAGUUUUGAUAUUCGCGAUGAAGUAUUAGACUCGUCGCUUGGCUGUUAUGACGGGAACGUCUACGAACGGAUUUUCGAAGAAGCUAAAAAAAGCCCUUUGAACAAAGAACCCGUGAAUCGUUCGUUUGAAUUGUACUUGAAACCAUUUAUAAAAUCUAAUAUUUAAAAUUUUGAAUUUAAAUUGAUCAAUGAAAAAUGUAAAUUUUUUGUUUUUCGUAUAAAUUUAAUAUAAAAAAAAAUAUACCUAUAAAUAGAAUAUUAUGUACGAGCAAUUUUAAAUAUUUUUGAACAAUAGAUUAAUUUGUUUUAACAGUUGCACUCAGAUAGAUCAUACCAAAAGUGGUUUAACUGCAUAUGAUAUCCAAGGUGUGGGUGGUUGGUAAUGUUGAUCUAAAUUGUCUUGGUCUUGAUCUUGCGGCAAGAUUAAGACUAAGGUGGCACUAGCACUAGCUAGACCAAAAUAAGUAUUUACAUAUUUAGACCAAGACCAAAACUGCAAGACUUGUAGUCUUGCACAUUUUCAAUUCGGAGCACAACAAGUGAUCUAUUAAUUAGUUUUACUAUGAUGUAUGUUUUUUUUUUGUGUGUCAUACGAGCAACUUUAAUACCAGAAAUCUUGCUCCGACGUAUCAAGUGUAGCGCAUUUUCUGAAAGGAAAUUUUAUUUAGUUGGCAGGUUAAGUAAUUUUUUGAUUUUCCAAGUAGUUUCCAUAAUAAUUGGAAAAACUGGAAAAAGAUGAAAAACGGAAACUGAUAUAGACUGUCUCGGUCUUAGUCUUGGUCUUGGUUUACUUAUGAUUAAUGACUGGUAUCUUGAGCCUGUUUAAAAAUUCUUAAAAAUAAAAUAAAAGUCGAUGGAGUCGAUACUUAUGUUAACUGCACGUAUUCUCUAAAUUUUUUUGUGCGCCACUAAUUCGUUAUAAUAUUUUGUACUUACGUAUUAUUAAUAUUAACUGGUUCAGGGCGAUAGUCGUUUGUACGAAAAUAAUAGUUAAUAAAAUUGUAACAAAAUAUUAUUAUAGUUCAUCUAUGUGUUAUAAAUACAAUCGCAUAUAUGUAGUUACAUCUGUGUACAGACUACGAAUAUGUAAACUCGGCUGU
This 9413-nucleotide long non-coding RNA is filed under the name Cinara cedri. The record is from RNAcentral. Lineage: Eukaryota; Metazoa; Arthropoda; Insecta; Hemiptera; Aphididae.